UACGAAGGGGGCUAGCGUUGCUCGGAAUCACUGGGCGUAAAGGGUGCGUAGGCGGGUCUUUAAGUCAGGGGUGAAAUCCUGGAGCUCAACUCCAGAACUGCCUUUGAUACUGGCGAUCUUGAGUCCGGGAGAGGUGAGUGGAACUGCGAGUGUAGAGGUGAAAUGCGUAGAUAUCGUUUGGAACGCCAAUGGUGAAAACAGCUAGCUGGGGAUGUGCCGACGCUGAGACACGAAAGCCAGGGGAGCGAACGGG
This 253-nucleotide ribosomal RNA is filed under the name uncultured bacterium. RNAcentral's name for it is "partial 16S ribosomal RNA". It matches the Rfam family "Bacterial small subunit ribosomal RNA", at positions 524 to 776 of the family's 1533-position model. The record is from RNAcentral.